CGUGUCCACACGGCGCGUUGCGUUGCGUUGCGUCGUCGCAACGCAAAUAUUUUGACGCAUAGCCGGCCACACGGGCGCUGCAGCGUUACUAUGACGCAGUCAACGUUCCGUCGGCGCAGCGGCGACGCACAGUUGCGGCAAGUAUUUUGAAAAAAAUUCGCAGUCAGUCUAUAGCAAAUCAUGGAUCGGAAAAGACGUCUAGCAUUGCUCCUAUUACUACGUCACCGCCGAAAUCGACGCAAGAUCACAAGACGAUACCUAGGAAGUGGAAAUUCAAUAACUGAUUUACAUUUCAAAUUCAAACGGGGAAAAUCUACUAUUGCAUAUAUAAUACAAAGAGUUUGUCGUGCUAUAUGGACCAAUCUUCUUCGAGACAACAUCCCUGAACUGACAACUGAAAGUUUCCAAACAAUAGCGAGGGGUUUUGAUGUAAAGGCAAAUUUUCCUCAAUGUGUUGGUGCCAUCGACGGCAAACAUAUCCGCGUGUGUAAUCCUGCAAAUAGUGGCUCACUUUUUUUUAAUUAUAAAGCCUUUUUUUCGAUUGUGUUGCUAGCUAUUGUGGAUUCAAAUUACAAAUUCGUAUUUGUCGACAUCGGUGCAUACGGAAAAGAAUGCGAUUCAACCAUAUUACAAAAUUCUAAACUGUACGAGCUAAUGAUUAACAACAACUUACCACUACCUCAACCCCAGCCACUCUCUGGUAGCAAUAUACCAACCCCGUAUGUAUUUGUGGGUGACGAAGCUUUUGGACUGAGCAAACAUAUUAUGCGUCCAUAUGGCGGUCAAAAUCUCGACUUACAACAAAAGGUUUUCAAUUACCGUCUAAGCAGAGCCAGAAGAUAUGUCGAAUGCGCUUUUGGGAUUAUGGCUAACAAAUGGCGCAUUUUUCACAGACCGAUAGACGUGUCCUAUGACUUCGCUACUGACAUUAUAAAAGCAUGUUGUGUAUUACACAAUUUUGUCGCUGAUCGAGAUGGUUUUAGACAAAGAGAUAAAUUUGCUAUAAGUGUUGAUGAAUUUCUCCCAAUACAACCCGUACAUGAAGAACAGACAGCACCGAAUGUCAUAAGACAGCAAUAUGCGACCUAUUUUAUGACUAGAGGAACUCUGCCUUGGCAGCUAAAUAAGGUAUAAUUGUAUUAUGAGGGUUUUCAAGAUUUUCUUGCACCGCCAAUUCCGCGAUCAGUAAAAAAAUAAUAUUUUAUACCUACUCAGCGUAGUCUAGGUUAGUUUUGAGCUAAGUAAUAAAAUAGUACUCACGCUAAUCUAAAUUCCCUAAGUUUUAAAAUUUUAGAGUGUCGAGAUAUUAAUUUUGUACUGAUCGCGGAAUUGGCGGUGCAAGAAAAUCUUGAAAGCCCUCUUAAAUAAAAAAAAAAAUAAAUAUCUGUACUGUGAACUCACCAACUUUAUUUUUUCGUUCAGCUGUGAAAUUCUCGUAAUCAGGAAAUAAAACUUUUGAUAUGUC
Leptidea sinapis is the source of this 1465-nucleotide long non-coding RNA. RefSeq lists it as uncharacterized. The transcript has 2 exons. The record is from RefSeq and is a predicted model, not a curated record. NCBI's taxonomy places the organism in Eukaryota, Metazoa, Arthropoda, Insecta, Lepidoptera, Pieridae.